CUCCUCUCACAUCUUAUCUAACAGAUUUGUGUCCACAGUCUCAUCCCUAAACCAAUCAUUGGAAAACAAGGAUGAUUGAAUAACCCCAAGGCCAACCAGUCCUACCCCUGGAGCUGGUCCAAAAUCAGCCUCUUCUUGGAGAGUAAAGGGAUGCAGAUAAGGAAAAUGAAGCAAAGAGUCUGAGUGACCAGCUCAAGAUUCCUUGGCAAUGAAAUGAUGGAGACAAGCUUAGGUAUUAAGAUCUUGAGCUGCAUUAUAAAGACAGAUUUUUCUAAAUGAGGGAAGUUACAGUUCCUGGGACUAUUGUGCAGAUCGCUGACUCUACAUUCAAGUAGGAGCACUGCCACAUUGGAUGGUAUCCAAAAGAAAGUGGUGUGGGAUCCAGGAACCACAUCAGAGAAGACUUGUUGAAGGAACUGCUGAUAUUUGGCCUGAAGAAGACAAGACUCGUGGACCAUAUUCAUUCAUUCACUCAUUCACUUGUUCAUUCAUUCUACAUUUAUUAAGUACUUGCUAUAUGUGACAUGCUGCAGAUACAGCCAGCAGCCAAACAGACAGAAUUUCUGGUCUCAUGAACCCAAAUCCAGAGAGGAUUCACAUGCAGUAAUAAAGGGUGUCAUGCGAAGAAUUAGCUUUCUUUUGAGUGAACCAGGACCAGGGCCAGAAGAGGAAUAUACCUAGGCAGAACUCUUUAGGUGCAGGUGAGGGGGCAGAGAUGGCUGGCUCAAAUGCAUGAACCCCUUGUAUUUUAAGUCUAGAAGGCUACUGGGAAGCUAUGAGAGGGGAUCCAAGAAGGGGCCAGGUUGGGCCAGGGCUUAGCAGCUUUAGUUCCCUUCAAACCAAGGCACUGUGGAUGCACCAAGGCUGCAGACCAGGCUGCUCUGGAAAGGCCCUCAGAAGUUGCCACUUAACUGGUGGAAGAGAAAAACAAGGACCUGAAGCUCCUUGGUCUUUGGUUUCCUUUCUUGAGCCUCCAUGUUCUCGAUGCUUCGGUGAUACUAUGGCCCUUUCUCUCCCCACCACCGAGAAUUCUUUUCAACAGUGUCCCUCCGCAGAGGAUAAGGGAAUUAGCAGCAAAAUAUUUUAGAACAGGAUUCAGAUUUUUCAAAAGCCCAUUUUAAAAAAAAAUUCAUUUCAAUUGUAGCUGAUUCUGAAGCAAAACACAAGCAAUAAGGCUGAGGAAACAAAAAUCACCCUAAGAUAAUCAUGGCUAAGAAUAUUUCCUUCUAUUUUGUCUUUGUUUAGGAUUUUGUUUUAUUUUUUAAGUACAUAUGAUCACACCAAAUUCUGCUUUUUCACUUAGGAUUGUUCAAAACAAGUCUGUCGUGAAAAUUAUGAUAAGCUCUUCAUUACAAUCAUAUAUUGACUUAUAUAAUUAUAUUAUUAUUAUGUAACAUUAUAUUAAGUAAAUAGACCAUAGUUUACUUAUUCAUUGGCCAUUCCCAAUCUUUGAUACUAUUUGGUACAACGUAGAAGACCAUACAUGAUACCAGUGUUGGGGAAUAAAGGAGGGAAUGGUGUGCUGUGGGGAGGAAAGAGGUUAGCACUGGGUGGGGAGUGUAUGGUCACUGAUUAGAAAAAGAAUGGAGCAAGUGACAUAGACUUAAAGACCUGUAGAUGUUUCCCGGUUAGACCAGUGAGGAAAGCACAUUUUCAGUGACUGAGAGGUCCUCUGCAGGGGUCAAUGCCAGGUUCCCACUACCAGGGACUAGCUGGGUGACCAUGGAAAAGUAACUUCUCUGAGCCUCAUUCUCCUACCUGUGUUUCACAGUGUGGCUGAGAGAAUUACUUCAAAUUGGUAGAGAGGAGGAUCAAAUUGAGAUAACAUGUGCAAAGCGCUUCAUGCCAUGCCUGAUUCUCAGCAUGCGCCCAACACCGGCCAGCUGUGCCACAUUGUCUUUUGGCAACUCAGGGCCAUUUUUGCCCUUCUAAGUUCUCCUUAUAACAUGGGGGUUGGAAGCCUAGCAACUAUGUCUUAUAAAAUUCCUACUCCCAGAAUGUGUUAGUUUACUAGGGCUGUCCAAACAGCCAUAACAAAGUACCCCAGGCUGGGUGCUUUAAACAACAGAAAUUUAGGGGCACCUGGGUGGCUCAGUGGUUGAGAA
Long non-coding RNA from Canis lupus familiaris (dog), 2105 nucleotides. RefSeq lists it as uncharacterized. The record is from RefSeq and is a predicted model, not a curated record. Lineage: Eukaryota; Metazoa; Chordata; Mammalia; Carnivora; Canidae. The transcript is spliced from 3 exons.